AGGAGUUUAAAUAAUUAAUUAAUCUAAAGCAAGAUUAAUUAUAUGUUUUAGAGGUAAAUUGUUCAAUUCAUUAAGAAUAGAGUUGACUAAAGAGAAUCUGUUUGAAGUUAGUGACAGUUGAAGGGAAUAAUGUUUAAUUUGCAGGUGAUAAAAAUCUAUUUAUAGGAUUUCAUAAGCCUACUCCUGAAAAAUGAUAUGCCAUCUAAAUACAGCCUAUACAUUCUUAAUUGUUGCCGAUAGCCUUAGAGAAUGUUAACCGUGGCCAACUAAUUUACCAAUUCAUGCCUUCAUCUAGUCAGCCUCCCCUCAUCGCCACUACCCACCCGCACGCCGACAACCACAGGCGCGCGCGCGCACACGCAAACACACGCACACUCAGACACGCUCACAAACACACGCUCAGUUGAACAGCCACGCUCGAGCACCAACUACCAUGGGACACUGCAGGGAAGGGAACCACUAGCAGGUUGGCUGAGGAAGCCAUGCGGCCAGCUCCGUGGCACUUUUGGACUGUCGUGUGAAUCAAGCGAGUCGUUGUGGUGCGGUCCGGUGACCGCUCAGUCGGCCUUCAUAGCGGGUCCGAACGAAUCCUUCCGCCUGCAGGGAUAGUGUAGGCCAGUGCGCCCAUGUAGCAGUUCUACCAGCGUGGCAGUAGACACCGAUGAAAGACCCCGUACAGCCAGCAGUACUGCAUGUGGUUGUAUCAUGACGUGACACUGUAUCGACCCGCACUAGAGCUGUUGUAGUCAGGACUGGGGUCCAGUGGACAGAGAACAGGUGGUGGAGGCCUGGCAUAGAGGGAAAGUUGCCACUCCCUCUGCAGGAUGAACACAGACAGGCCAAAACGCAAAAUCAUUCGGAAGAGAUAUGACGUCAGCGACGGGAUGCCGUGGUGCGAGGAGCGCAUGGUCCAGAAGGUUCUCUUCCUGUCCCUGAAGGAGUUCAGGGACGCCAGGCGCCCAAGCACCCAGGGGCCACACCGACCGAGGCCCGGGGCCGCGGCACAGGAUCAGCAGAGGACACCGCGGCCGAAGCCAGGAUCGCACGCACGCACAAAAAACAAGGCACCUGUCUCCCAAGAUGGGCCAAAACCAAAGCAGGGUCGCUGGCAAACACACGCGCUGGAAAACCCCGAGGAGGAGCUAGCACUGCCACAGAUUGCCCCGGACACCUGUUCGCCCCAAGGCAAACGCCACGGCCUUCAAACCGCACAGAUGCUCGUCGAGGUCCUGCCAGCAGCCAAGCUCGCACGUCGAAGACCAGCGACAGGCGCGCCACAGAACAGCCACUCGCUAGCGGGCGUUGCCGUCGCUCAGCCCAGAACACUGCGCUCACACAGAGCACAGAGCCUUCUCGCGUUCUUGAACACGUCCAAGCCACAGCGCGCGGCUCCGCCGACCCCGCAGGACACCCGCCCGAAAUGCGAGGAAGGGCUGAACGGCACUCGUGUCGCGCAAAGCACGUCCACGCAGACGGUCCCCACCAGGAUUCUGAGGUCCCACACACCUACCGCCCGCCUCAAUGGUGCUCCCAGACAGGUUCCAGCUCUGCUAUCCACCAAUGAGAGACAGGGACUGACCCUGCAGGCCUAUCAUCAGCAUCGUCACGGCAACAUGGGUCAUGGUAGAGAUGACCCGGCCAACCAGAGGCCGAAGCUUCAGGCUCAGAGAAAGUUUGCACAUUCUCCUCCCAGUUCUCCAGGACCUUUAGUGUCGCCUUCCUCCACACAUAACAACAGCUCUUCCACCUCCAGCUGCCUGACGAGACGCCGUCCCAAAACAGAAGACUUUCUUUCUUUUCUUUGUUUGAGAGGUUCUGUGGCAUUGCCGAACAGCAUGGCCGUCUUAGGUAGUUGCCGGAAAAAGGAAUCCGCUGUCACUUCAUGUCUUCCCAGCAGUCUAGGGCGGCCGACGGAGAAAGGCAGGACUACAGCCUUCAGGAGAAAAGCCCGCCACGGCAUGGCCCCCAGGCCGCUGAGGAGGCUGGGGGUGGCGGCCCUCCUCCUCCGGGGGGCCGGAGACACGGAGGCCGCCGGCAAGCGGAGAUACGGACUGUGUUCCAACGCCGCCGCCGCCGCCGCCUCCUUCGCUCCGAGGAAACUGAGCCUAAGGGAAAGGAAGAUGAGGGAGGGGAAAGGAGAAGGGAAGCCGACGGGGAACGGUGGAAGAGAGAAGAGGGCAGGGGGGAGAGUCGAGGGGAGGAGGAAGAGAGAGCCGGUUCGUGUCCUGCGACCUCGCCAGCUCUCUCUGCAGGUUGCCAUGGUGACUGGGCUCUCUGAUCAACACACUUCCUAUGUACUACAAGCGCCGCCAAUCAAGUCUAAAUCGACCAAUAGCAGCAGACGUUCCGGACCCUAUUCUAGGGAGAGCAAAGCUAGUUUGCCCAGAAGGCCCCAUGGAGAACUCUGCCAGGACCCCAGUCAAAACACCAGGCCCGAACAGAAUGCUUUAUGCAAAUCCAGCAGCUAA
This is a long non-coding RNA of Gadus morhua (Atlantic cod), 2468 nucleotides long. The record is from Ensembl. Lineage: Eukaryota; Metazoa; Chordata; Actinopteri; Gadiformes; Gadidae.